ACAAUGACUCUCGGCAACGGAUAUCUCGGCUCUCGCAUCGAUGAAGAACGCAGCGAAAUGCGAUACCUGGUGUGAAUUGCAGAAUCCCGUGAAUCAUCGAGUCUUUGAACGCAAGUUGCGCCCGAGGCCUUUUGGCCGAGGGCACGCCUGCCUGGGCGUCACG
Molecule: ribosomal RNA, 163 nt
Filed under: Scurrula ferruginea
Lineage: Eukaryota; Viridiplantae; Streptophyta; Magnoliopsida; Santalales; Loranthaceae
Description: 5.8S ribosomal RNA
Rfam family: 5.8S ribosomal RNA
About the family: 5.8S ribosomal RNA (5.8S rRNA) is a component of the large subunit of the eukaryotic ribosome. It is transcribed by RNA polymerase I as part of the 45S precursor that also contains 18S and 28S rRNA.
Source: RNAcentral